Molecule: long non-coding RNA, 2038 nt
Organism: Chelonia mydas (Green sea turtle)
Lineage: Eukaryota; Metazoa; Chordata; Testudines; Cheloniidae
Exons: 3
Source: RefSeq, a predicted model, not a curated record
UAGAAGCACGAUUAGAGAGUUUAUGGAUAAUUUAAGAGGCAGCACAUUCUUUUAGCGAGUGCCUUGUCUGUUCCAGAGCAGUAAUUGCCUGUUACUUUGCAGCUUCUGAUGUGCUUGGCUGCAUGACACAUGAAGACACAGCAUAUAUUUAAAGAACUAACACUCAUUCAAAGUACCUGCUUGCAAUUUUAAACACAAGAAUCCAAUAAACUUCUAAUGGCAACAAGGAGAUUGACCAAAAAAAAAAAAAAAAAAAGAAAGAAAGAAAGAAGAAAAAAAGCACAUACAAAACAGCAAAUCAACAGCCAGGUGGAACAAUGUUAAUGUUUGCAGAUCCUGUUUCUCAAGAGGAAGUUUUAACUCUUUCUUCACACAGCCACAUGUCAGCCACCUUGCAGGAGGUACUAAGACAAAACACAAGAAAGCCCAUACUCAGGGUAAGUUCCUCCCGCCUGACGGGAAUCUGGGCGUUCCGGAUGUCUCACAAGAAAGAAUAUGGACAUCAGGCUUCCAAUCUGAAUUUGUAAGCCCAGGAAGUUGGGAAAAGGCUUGGAGAAACAUCCAAACUUUCACAUGCUUGUGCAAACUAAACAUCUAACUGUCUGAGAUCUCCCCUGUGGCAUAUUUAGUCAUGCAACUGUGAUGCCUUUGCUUUCUGUAUUCUGUACCUUUAAACCUCCAAGGACUCAGCUGUCUGCAGAGAUGGGCAGCCAUUUUGUGUUCAAAUGACUGCAAGUUGUCAGAGGAGCCAUAAACACUGUCUGCUGUCUCAUGUAGUCUUUGCUUUCAUUCUUUCUGGUUCUUGGGACCUGCUUUUCAAAGAUAUUUAGGCACCCAAAAAUGAGGGUAGGCACUUUGUGGGGUUUUCAAAAGUGCCUAAGCAGGUUAAGCAUCUGCCAUUGAAACCAAAGUGACAUCAAGCAGCACAGGGGCCUCACCACAUCUUUAGGCACCUAGGUACCUUAAAAAUUCCUAAUUUGAAAUCAGGCAGGGAACGUCUCUUUGCUCUGUGUGUCUGGAGAGGGACAACACUCCACAGCACGAGCAGUCAUUCCAUUUUGCUUGGAGGAGGAUCUGUAGGUGAGAAAUACCCACUGGAGCAUCUCUGUUCGGAAGGUGAGGUCCUGAAAUCUCCAAUGGUCGUGAUUCUCCUCUCAUGCCAGUUGGACACGGGUGUUAAAUGAAGGACUGUCGGGCUCAAUAAGAGGCCAUCACUCUGGCUAACCCCAGAGCUCCCAGUGUGACAUUCUCUUGCAUUGCCAUAUGGUUAUCAAAGAAUUUUCCUGCCCUCCCACAAACAGCUCCCACUGCCCCCCUGCCGCCCCCCGCGCCUCCAACCCAUUACCGAGGCAGGGCUCUACAUUUGCUCCUCCUACCACAAGUUUAUCAGGCUUUGCAGGCCUAUCAGAAGUGGGGGUCAGGUUUAAGCAGCAGUAGCUUACACCGGGAAACAUCCGGAGUUAAUUCUGAAUUCCCGCCGUCCGGGGCUUUGCGGAGGUAAAGCUUUUAAUGGAAAGAGGAAGUGUAAAAUGAAAAGAUGGGAGGAUUAGAGAUACAGUAGGCCAACCACUGUAAGAUAAAAGUGAACAGAACAGAGGAGGCAGGAGCCAGUUCAUUAUGGCUGGGCCCACUGCGUCUAAUUUAGAUCAGAUAAUGGUUAUCAGAAUGGAAAGCACAUAUCUUAAUCUGCUGUGUAUUUUCAAUUUUCUUAUCAGUGCUACGCAAAGGGCAUGGGGAACCAUGAGAGAAGAGCUGCCUUGAUGCUCUUUUACACUUACAAACGUGCAUCGAAAUAAGCUUCUUUGUAUCGUUCCCAGAGACCCUGCCACACGCAGGCACACCUUACAGAGGACACGGAAUUGGUGAACUGGUUAAUAGAACUGACCUGAACCUUCACUCAAACUCAGAUCAGAUCCCGAAUGGAAUCUUGUUGGGAUUUCAAAAAAAGUUUCAAUGACUUUCCCACCUAUUAUUUAUCAUUAUUGUUAAUUUCUUCACUUCUGGCUUCCAGCUGUUAUUGGAAGCCAAAAUGCUGUCA